This 463-nucleotide ribosomal RNA is filed under the name uncultured bacterium. RNAcentral's name for it is "partial 16S ribosomal RNA". It matches the Rfam family "Bacterial small subunit ribosomal RNA", at positions 28 to 507 of the family's 1533-position model. The record is from RNAcentral.
GACGAACGCUGGCGGCGUGCUUAACACAUGCAAGUCGAACGGAAAGGCCUUUUCGGAGGUACUCGAGUGGCGAACGGGUGAGUAACACGUGGGUGAUCUGCCCUGCACUCUGGGAUAAGCCUGGGAAACUGGGUCUAAUACCGGAUAGGACCGCACUUUAGUGUGUGUGGUGGAAAGUUUUUUCGGUGUAGGAUGAGCCCGCGGCCUAUCAGCUUGUUGGUGGGGUAAUGGCCUACCAAGGCGGCGACGGGUAGCCGGACUGAGAGGUUGGUCGGCCACAUUGGGACUGAGAUACGGCCCAGCCGCCUACGGGAGGCAGCAGUGGGGAAUAUUGCACAAUGGGCGCAAGCCUGAUGCAGCGACGCCGCGUGGGGGAUGACGGCCUUCGGGUUGUAAACUCCUUUCGCCAGGGACGAAGCGUUUUGUGACGGUACCUGGAGAAGAAGCACCGGCUAACUACGUG